Dermochelys coriacea (leatherback sea turtle) is the source of this 2598-nucleotide long non-coding RNA. RefSeq lists it as uncharacterized. The record is from RefSeq and is a predicted model, not a curated record. NCBI's taxonomy places the organism in Eukaryota, Metazoa, Chordata, Testudines, Dermochelyidae. The transcript is spliced from 7 exons.
CUACUGUCUAGGGGCUCAAACCGUUCAAGUUCAUUAUUUCCUGCGAUGGAAUCUGGCCAACAGGAAGCAACAUUGGAAGAAGCAGAACAAUUCAGGAGGGGCCAUCAAAGCAGGUUGGGUUAUUCUGAAUAUCCAAUGAGACCUGGAAACAAGAGAAAUGUGCAUUAAAUGAACCAUGUUCUGGACUACCAGCGAGGGCUGUCCACUCUGCACCAGCUCCUCCCCUUCACCCUGAUCUCCCUCAUCACCUGUCUCAGACAUCAGUCAAGGGUCCCCACCUGUUUCUGAACUGCCUGUCCAGGAGCUGCAGAAAAUACUGCUGCUGUCUUUGUGGUGAAUCAGACAUCCUCUUAUAACCUGACCCAUGCAGGGGCUGCUGCACUGAUUAUAUGAUCUUUCUUCAUAUUCAAUUCAGGCAAAAUAUUGUUAAUAAGGUGGAAGAAAUGUAAUGGAUAAAAUCAUCACCUCUCUAAAGAGCACAAGAAGUUGCUGUACUGAAUAAAGCAAUAAAAAAUUGGGAGUUACCUGUUCAGAGGUAAGGAAAGUCAGUAAUUCUAACCAAUGAUCAUGACAUCUACUCCUUUCUCCUUCCCGGCUAAUGGUUGGUUGUUCCUACAAGGAUGUAUCACAGAAAAAAUGCAACUAACCAGAAUGUGAAGAUGAGCAUUUAACCUGCUCUUACAUUUGCAGAGAUGAGUUGUCCAGCUGAUUCUCUUUGUGCAGAAUUGAUCAUUGUUGCUUAUUUAUCAAAUGUCAAGAAGAAAUCAGUGGAAUUGAUCAUUUCUAUCAAGAGGUAAGGAAUGCACCUCCUCUCAGCACAGGGGCAGGAAUAACAGACUCUGUUUCUAUUUUCAGGUGAAAUAAAGGUCUGACCAUUGCAGGGGGGAAGAGGAGAAGAUAAGAGGCUGCUGAAUUUAAUAAUAGUCAGACAGGUAACAAUACCUGGCCAGGGGGAAGAAAAGCAUCUUUUACUUCUAGUUCAGAAAGAGGAAAGCAGCCAAUUAUAUGCUCAAGUUGUAACCAGUGUAGUUGGCUGUACCUCUAAGAAUCAAAGCUUUGUGGUGCAACAUCACUGAGAAGUAAGUGAGCACUGGGAAGUCUGUAGAAGCCUAAUGAUCUGGAUGCUAAGGAAACAUUUCUAUUGAUGACUCUUCAUAACUGGUAAUGAGAAAUAAUAAUAAAUAGUUGUCAGGUUUUGCUAACUGGAGAUGUGAACAGACCAGGUGGCCAUUCCUGCCAGGGAGAAGUAAGGGUAAGUGGCUGUCCCGGGCAAGGAGGUAAGAAAUACCAGUCUCCAAACAUCCAUGUGUAUAUCAAGUGGUGUGGAGUUUACUUUCAGGGAGAACUGUGGAGGACCUUACUUGUCAUGGGAGAGUGUGAAAGCAGAGGCAAGACAAAGCAACAUGGACUUGCCAGCUGCUGAAUCCAUGGAGGACUCCAAUGAGAAGAUGCUGUUAUUUCAAGGAGCAACAAACAGAAAACAGAAGAGUCAUUUCAAAUAGUUCAGCUAGUUGCAAAUCUGAAUAUGAAGCAAGUCAGCAGACGUGGAGAUGAGAGAAAUGCAGCUGAUUUGAACUUUGAGGGUGUGAAAACUUCAGGAAGUUCCUAGAAGAUCUGUGAUAUCUAUAGGAAGGAAACCAGUGAAACUCAUCACUGCUGCCAAGAGGUAAGGAACUCACCUCACAAUGGAGAAACUAAUGGAUCUGGUUUCUCUUCAGGUGAAAGAAAUGCAGCUGAUCUGAUCUGCUUGGGGUUGAGGACUAUAAGCAGUCAUAUUACUUAAGAAUAAAGGAACAUGUUCCCAGACUUGCAGAGAGGAAAAAAAGUUGCCUUCCUUGACUGGAAUGGGAAGACAAUCCCUUAUCACCAUCAAGUUUCAAACCCCAAUGCAGGAGACCAUCACUGACAGAGGAAAUAAGAGUUACAGAUGCUCAGGAUUUGAGUACAAAGUAAUAGGAAUGGAGCUGAACAGAUCCAACACCUGAAAGGACAAUUGGCUCUCAUAAGAUAUGAGACCAUGAAAAAGACCCUUCAUUCAAUAAAGCAACAGAAUUGUCUCUGGGGAGAGCUGAUCACACCAUCCCAGAAUCUAAGAGGAGCUCAGGGGGAUGGCAGACAUCGGGAUUCAUCUUUAUCAGGAGGUGAUGAACCUGCUUGUCACUUCUGAAUAACAUCAGUGGCUUUGGUUAGACUUUCAAUUGAAGGAAACACAGCCAGUGUGGUCAGUAUUCAAGAAACAAUAUUCAAAAGUUGCCUGGGGUCACCUCUUGGGCUAAGGGGAGCAGCUGGUCCCGUCUGCUGGGAUGGAAGCAAAGAAGAAAGCACUGGCCACUGGCUAAUACUGGGACACAGACAAUACCCUGUCCCAGGCCCCUCCAGGGUAUGUAACCAUAGUGACCAGUGGGUCCUUUCCCCACUGUGGUCCUGGCUCACAUGCACAGGGUGAAACUGAUCGCCAUGUUUGGGGUCAGGAAGGAAUUUUCCUCCAGGGCAGAUUGGCCAGAGACCCUGGAGGUUUUUCGCCUUCCUCUGGGGCAUUGAGCAGGGACCAGCCCUUUGGGCCAUUUAGAAACUGACAAUAAAAUCCAUGAGAGAGAA